GACGACGCUGGCGGCGGGCCUAACACAUGCAAGUCGAACGAGAUACCGGAGCUUGCUCCGGUGGAAAGUGGCGAACGGGUGAGUAACACGUGAGAAAUCUGUCCUAGAGACCGGGACAACCAUCGGAAACGAUGGCUAAUACCGGAUACCCUCACAUGGUCGCAUGGUCGAGUGAGGAAAUGCUCAGGUGCUCUAGGAGGAUCUCGCGGCCUAUCAGCUAGUUGGUGGGGUAACGGCCUACCAAGGCAUCGACGGGUAGCUGGUCUGAGAGGACGAUCAGCCACACUGGGACUGAGACACGGCCCAGACUCCUACGGGAGGCAGCAGUGGGGAAUAUUGCGCAAUGGGCGAAAGCCUGACGCAGCAACGCCGCGUGAGGGAUGACGGCUUUCGGGUUGUAAACCUCUUUCAGUGAUGACGAAAAUGACGGUAGUCACAGAAGAAGCUCCGGCCAACUACGUGCCAGCAGCCGCGGUAACACGUAGGGAGCGAGCGUUGUCCGGAUUUAUUGGGCGUAAAGAGCUCGUAGGCGGUUUCGUAAGUCGGAUGUGAAAACUCAGGGCUCAACCCUGAGACGCCAUCUGAUACUGCGAUGACUAGAGUCCGGUAGAGGAGCAUGGAAUUCCUGGUGUAGCGGUGGAAUGCGCAGAUAUCAGGAGGAACACCAACGGCGAAGGCAGUGCUCUGGGCCGGUACUGACGCUGAGGAGCGAAAGCAUGGGGAGCAAACAGGAUUAGAUACCCUGGUAGUCCAUGCCGUAAACGUUGGGCACUAGGUGUGGGGUCUUCUAACGGAUUCCGUGCCGUAGCUAACGCAUUAAGUGCCCCGCCUGGGGAGUACGGCCGCAAGGCUAAAACUCAAAGGAAUUGANGGGC
RNAcentral lists this ribosomal RNA (875 nucleotides) under uncultured bacterium. RNAcentral's name for it is "bacterial SSU rRNA". It matches the Rfam family "Bacterial small subunit ribosomal RNA", at positions 28 to 918 of the family's 1533-position model. The record is from RNAcentral.